This is a non-coding RNA of Lolium perenne, 777 nucleotides long. The record is from RefSeq and is a predicted model, not a curated record. NCBI's taxonomy places the organism in Eukaryota, Viridiplantae, Streptophyta, Magnoliopsida, Poales, Poaceae.
AGAUUGGUGAACCGUUUCACAGCUCAUUAUGUGUCUGCACUAGAAUUUGCAAGGUUUCUUAGCUGUGCACACUUGGUCCUUCAGCUGAGCGCAAACACCAUUCUUGCAUCAUAAAGGGCAUUUAGGUGUUCCGGUGUCAUGAACUCAUGAUGAGCUAUGGGGAUCCCAAAGAUGAAAACUUGAUCCUAGGAAUCUCAAAAGAAGGUCCUCAUGCUACAUUAGGUGUUCUCGGGGAAAAAUACUGGUAUGACAGUGCCUCAAAAUGUAUUUAGCAUAUAAGGAACCUGAGCACAAAAUCAAAUGGCUGAUAUGUAGCAUGCAUCUAAGGGCGGCGUGCGCUUGAGAUUCCGCUCGAGAUCGAUCGAUUCGACCGGAUUUUGUAGUCGAUCGAGUUGUAGUGUUCAGGAAUCGGAACUUGUAAGGUUGUUAAAUUUCAAAGAUGUAAACUGGUAUGAGUUUCAGAAUUAUAUGGUCAUAUCCUCUAUUUUUAUCCCAAGGCUGCUAAUGUACGAGUUUCAGAUUUUUGUGCACUAUCGAAUCAUCUACUACAAUGUCCAGACUAGAUGGAAUGGUGUUCAGUUAGAGAAGAUAGAUGAUCUUGCUUGGUAGCUUAUCAUAUGUAUUGUCUCUUUUGAUUUUGCUUGUUGAUCUUCAGAUAGUAUUUUUGCUGGCAGACCUUCUAUAAAUAAGAUGGUAUAUGCCCUUGCCAUGCUCUAUAAAGAAAAGGGAUUUCAUGUUUGUGCAUGUGGUAUUCUCUAAACUGUAGUUCUCUCUUAU